GUCAGUCUUUCCCCUUCUUGUUUGGUUGUCCAACCAUUUGCUAAGACUCCAUUUUUCCUUCUCUUCUGGAAAAGAAACAAAGCAUGCCAGAGAUGAAGGACAUGGGCAGCCACUGGUAGGGAAUGCUUUGUUUAUCAAAGGAACACAACAGGCCAUCAGCUGUAAGCAAACAGACUUUUGAACACGAAGAACAUAUAUCUACUAAUCCAGGAAGUUUCCUGUGUACCCGGCACAAUUCUAAAAGACCCCUUGUGUUUGAAAUGUGAAGAAUAGGUUUUAAAGCUCCCUUUUAUUAUGCUUUCCUUUCAUUCAUUGAAGACAUCAAAGAAGUGAGCCACCAGUGUACCUGAUCUACUUGGAGAACUAGUAAGGGCGUUCUAAAGAAACGGGGAUAUUGGGAGCCAGACACCCCUGCGGACAAGCAAGUUCAAAGGGAAUAUUUCAACAAUGAUUACAUUUUGUAAAUCUUUUUUCUUCUCUCCUGCACGAAAGACAGCUUAUUUCCUGCUUUUUCAUGAAAAAUAGAUUGUGCCCAUUAAAGUAAGCUUGUGGAAUGGAAGUUACUUGAGAGCUGAAGUACAGCAAGGGGAUUAAGUGGAAAGCAAGAUGAAAUCUUUCAGAGACUUCCAAAGUGUUGCUUGCUAUUUUGUUGUAAGACAUCAAGGUUUUCUUAGUGGAAUACAAAUGCCCCGUCUCUACCUACCGGUACUUUGUUGGCAACGCUAAAGCAUGCAUAAAACGUAGGUUCCACCACCCUGAUAUUCUACAUAGUAGAGAUUAGUGUACUAAAAAUCUACUUGAUAUCCUGAAAGUACACAGUUAGUAUAUUUUAAAUAUCUGUAGUAGCUUUUCUCCACCUUUUAUUAUUUCUUGAAAGGUUUUCAGAUUUUUUUCUACAGUAAAAGAAUUCCCUCCUCCUUCCUGCCCAAUUAUACUGUUGAAUACACCAGUCGGCAUAUUCCAAAAGACUUCUGCAGGAAUUUAGCCGGGACACAGAAGAUGGCACAAUGAGAUAGUGAACUUGCCAACAUUUUGCGGAUCCAUUACGCUGGUAGUUUAAUGACAAAUUCGUAUUUGAUGAAGACGUGGAUGUGUAUCAUUAAUCAGAAAGAGAAAAGUCACAAUUUGAAAGAUAAGAUGUGUCUGUCUAUAUCGCUGGAAUUGGCCCUGGCUUUCUGAGGAUGUAUUAAAUAUGGAUGAUACUUUAUGACCUGUAUGAUGUCUGUUGUCAAUCUUUUACAUGCAACUCAAUUUAAAAUUGAAUGUGCUUUUAAUUAUAUAUAUAAAUGAAGGCUUGAUUUGAGCUAAAUAGAAGUAUUACAGGCCAUCACAUGUACAGUACAAAUACAUUCCUCCAUGUUUGCGAGUCCAGACAUGCUUUACGUGACAGUUUUGUUUUGCUAUCUAUACAUGUAUACAAGGGGAAAUAUGUUCAAGACAUGCUUUGGAUAUAUGCCAGGGAACCCUGGCCAAACACAGCUCCCCUGACAUAUGUCCGUCACCUGCUUCUGAGAGUUGGAAAUGUGUCUUCCCUUCACACUUUCCGUGUUUUAUGAAAGUCUGGGAUAUAAAACUACCUCUUCCCUCCUUCCCUUUCCCCCCUCUUUUAACUCCCCUUUUUUUUGCAACAGAAUUGUACUCAGAACAAAAUGGUUUCCUGCUGUACCUGGCAAAGCUUUAUGUCCAGUCCCAUUGGAAUGUAUUUAAAAGUUCAAGUUCAGAUAUAAACCAAAUAAAAUGCUCCUUGGGAGCCUAGAGCCAGCCUUCAUUUACAUGUGAUCUCUCUGAACUUCUCUUGUGCUAGCUUGCUCUGUUUCCAGGGCCCACCAAAGGAAUGUUCUGCAGUUACAGCCUGCAGUGCUUUCUCAGGCAUUUGAGACCCAGAGGCACAAGUUUCAAGCUGGAGUUAUUAAAAGUUUCCACUUAUCUAAAGCAGUCAGAAAAGGAGGG
Long non-coding RNA from Anolis carolinensis (green anole), 1950 nucleotides. RefSeq lists it as uncharacterized. NCBI's taxonomy places the organism in Eukaryota, Metazoa, Chordata, Lepidosauria, Squamata, Anolidae. The record is from RefSeq and is a predicted model, not a curated record. The transcript is spliced from 3 exons.